AUGCGCAAGAAUUGACGGGUGCUAUCACCGGAUCCCAUCAGAACUCCGCAGUUAAGCGUGCUUGGGCGAGAGUAGUACUAGGAUGGGUGACCUCCUGGGAAGUCUUCGUGUUGCACCCC
Molecule: non-coding RNA, 119 nt
Organism: Gossypium arboreum
Lineage: Eukaryota; Viridiplantae; Streptophyta; Magnoliopsida; Malvales; Malvaceae
Source: Rfam